AGGCUCGUAGCGUAAUGGCAGCGCACCCGGCUCUUACCCGGUGAGGCAAGGGUUCAACUCCCUUCGAGCCUA
RNAcentral lists this transfer RNA (72 nucleotides) under Myxococcales bacterium. Its description in RNAcentral is "tRNA-Lys". It matches the Rfam family "tRNA". From Rfam's summary of the family: Transfer RNA (tRNA) molecules are approximately 80 nucleotides in length. The record is from RNAcentral. Lineage: Bacteria; Pseudomonadati; Myxococcota; Myxococcia; Myxococcales.